UUGAACGCUGGCGGAAUGCUUUACACAUGCAAGUCGAGCGGCAGCGCGGGGGCAACCCUGGCGGCGAGCGGCGGACGGGUGAGUAAUGCAUCGGAACGUACCUAGUCGUGGGGGAUAACUAUCCGAAAGGAUAGCUAAUACCGCAUACGUCCUGAGGGAGAAAGCAGGGGAUCGCAAGACCUUGCGCGAUUAGAGCGGCCGAUGUCGGAUUAGCUAGUUGGUGGGGUAAAGGCCUACCAAGGCAACGAUCCGUAGCUGGUCUGAGAGGAUGAUCAGCCACACUGGGACUGAGACACGGCCCAGACUCCUACGGGAGGCAGCAGUGGGGAAUUUUGGACAAUGGGCGCAAGCCUGAUCCAGCCAUUCCGCGUGAGUGAAGAAGGCCUUCGGGUUGUAAAGCUCUUUCGGUCGGGACGAAACGGCGGAUGCUAAUACCAUCCGUUACUGACGGUACCGACAGAAGAAGCACCGGCUAACUACGU
This 482-nucleotide ribosomal RNA is filed under the name uncultured bacterium. RNAcentral describes it as "bacterial SSU rRNA". It matches the Rfam family "Bacterial small subunit ribosomal RNA", at positions 30 to 506 of the family's 1533-position model. The record is from RNAcentral.